This 253-nucleotide ribosomal RNA is filed under the name uncultured bacterium. RNAcentral's name for it is "partial 16S ribosomal RNA". It matches the Rfam family "Bacterial small subunit ribosomal RNA", at positions 524 to 776 of the family's 1533-position model. The record is from RNAcentral.
UACAGAGGGCUCAAGCGUUGCGCGGAAUCACUGGGCUUAAAGCGUACGUAGGCGGGCAUGAAAGUAUCGUGUGAAAUCCCCCGGCUCAACCGGGGAAUUGCACGAUAAACUUCAUGUCUUGAGGUCGGUAGGGGCCGUCGGAACGCUCGGUGGAGCGGUGAAAUGCGUAGAUAUCGAGCGGAACGCCGAAGGUGAAGACAGGCGGCUGGGCCGAAACUGACGCUGAGGUACGAAAGCGUGGGGAGCAAACGGG